Non-coding RNA from Myodes glareolus (Bank vole), 672 nucleotides. Lineage: Eukaryota; Metazoa; Chordata; Mammalia; Rodentia; Cricetidae. The record is from RefSeq and is a predicted model, not a curated record.
GAGAGAUGCCAUGGAGCCAUGGCCAGAGUCAGACAUGUCGAAAUUCUGUCGGGUGCUGAAAAGUCAGUGUGGCUACCUGUGGAUGAUGGAAGCCGAGCUUCCAAAGUGUCUACACCUGAAGAAAAGGAGAAGCUCAGGGCAAAGGUGCUGUAGAACCAAGAACAGAAGCGACCUUCCAAUGGCAGCAAAUCUUAGUGGACGAGUGUGACUGCUGAACUGCUGUUUUUGCUAUGCUGUCUCUGUUGAACACAUCUGUUAAUGCUGAGCUGCUCCGGGCUUAUAGACCUGAUGAUCCCCUUGUGUUUUACAUUGUUAAUUGGGAAGAGAAUAACAUUCUUGUCUAUGUCUAUGUCAAUGACUCUGAGAUCUUGGGUGCUCCCAAGGCUAGUCAUAUUGUUCCCUAAGCAGAGAUGGUCACAUGAUAAUUUAAGUAUUGAUGUUCAGGCCUUGCAUGAUAAAAUAAUCACCAUUCAACGUUCAAAGUAAGAUGAAUUGCCCUCUUCCAUUGCUGCACAAAACUUGGUCAAGAUUUUUGGUCGUUAUUUUUCUCUCUCUAAAUAGACUUCUAAACUAUAGUCCGUAGAAAUGUCGCUGGGAAGCUUUUGCUGGCUAACUGGGAAACAUUAUAGUCUUUUUUUAAAAAAUAAAUAAAUGAUGUUUAUUUAUCAUGUA